UACGUAGGUGGCAAGCGUUGUCCGGAUUUAUUGGGUUUAAAGGGUGCGUAGGCGGCCCCGUAAGUCAGUGCUGAAAUAUCCCGGCUUAACCGGGAGGGUGGCAUUGAUACUGCGAGGCUUGAGUAAAGUUGAGGUAGGCGGAAUUGACGGUGUAGCGGUGAAAUGCUUAGAUAUCGUCAAGAACACCGAUAGUGUAGACAGCUUACUAAGCUUUAACUGACGCUGAGGCACGAAAGUGUGGGGAUCAAACAGG
Molecule: ribosomal RNA, 253 nt
Filed under: uncultured bacterium
Lineage: Bacteria
Description: partial 16S ribosomal RNA
Rfam family: Bacterial small subunit ribosomal RNA
Source: RNAcentral